UUCCGGUUGAUCCUGCCGGAGGCCAUUGCUAUCGGAGUCCGAUUUAGCCAUGCUAGUCGCACGAGUUCAGACUCGUGGCGAAAAGCUCAGUGACACGUGGCCAAACUACCCUAUGGACGGAACUAACCUCGGGAAACUGAGGCUAAUGUCCGAUACGGCUCCCACGCUGGAAUGCGGGGAGCCGGAAACGCUCCGGUGCCAUAGGAUGUGGCUGCGGCCGAUUAGGUAGACGGUGGGGUAACGGCCCACCGUGCCAAUAAUCGGUAUGGGUCAUGAGAGUGAGAACCCAGAGACGGUAUCUGAGACAAGAUACCGGGCCCUACGGGGCGCAGCAGGCGCGAAACCUUUACACUGCACGACAGUGCGAUAAGGGGACUCCGAGUGCGAGGGCAUACAGUCCUCGCUUUUCCGUACCGUAGGGUGGUACGGGAACAAGUGCUGGGCAAGACCGGUGCCAGCCGCCGCGGUAAUACCGGCAGCACGAGUGAUGGCCGAUAUUAUUGGGCCUAAAGCGUCCGUAGCUGGCCGGACAAGUCCGUUGGGAAAUCCACCCGCUUAACGGGUGGGCGUCCAGCGGAAACUGUCCGGCUUGGAGCCGGAAGACCUGAGGGGUACGUCCGGGGUAGGAGUGAAAUCCCGUAAUCCUGGACGGACCGCCGGUGGCGAAAGCGCCUCAGGAGGACGGACUCGACAGUGAGGGACGAAAGCCAGGGUCUCGAACCGGAUUAGAUACCCCGGUAGUC
Molecule: ribosomal RNA, 743 nt
Filed under: uncultured archaeon
Lineage: Archaea
Description: bacterial SSU rRNA
Rfam family: Archaeal small subunit ribosomal RNA
Source: RNAcentral